AGCAGCCGCGGUAAUUCCAGCUCCAAUAGCGUAUAUUAAAGUUGUUGCAGUUAAAAAGCUCGUAGUUGAAUUUCGGGAUUGACGUGACGGUCGUGCCUUAAGGGGUAUGAACUGUCGCAGUUGAUUUCUCACCUUCUGGAGAAGCUUGAUGUCCUUAAUUGGGUGUCAUGUGGAACCAGGACCUUUACCUUGAAAAAAUUGAGUGUUUAAAGCAGGCAUUUUGCUCGAAUACAUUAGCAUGGAAUAAUAGAAUAGGACGGCAUGGUUCUAUUUUGUUGGUUUCUAGGAUCACCGUAAUGAUUAAUAGGGAUAGUUGGGGGCAUUAGUAUUCAAUUGUCAGAGGUGAAAUUCUUGGAUUUAUUGAAGACUAACUACUGCGAAAGCAAUUUUGCCAAGGGUGUUUUCAUUAAUCAAGAACGAAGUUAGGGAUCGAAGACGAUCAGAUACCGUCGUAGUCUUAACCAUAAACUAUGCCGACUAGGGAUCGGAUGAUGUUAAUUUUUANGUACU
Molecule: ribosomal RNA, 510 nt
Filed under: uncultured Entrophospora
Lineage: Eukaryota; Fungi; Glomeromycota; Glomeromycetes; Entrophosporales; Entrophosporaceae
Description: SSU rRNA
Rfam family: Eukaryotic small subunit ribosomal RNA
Source: RNAcentral